RNAcentral lists this ribosomal RNA (459 nucleotides) under uncultured bacterium. RNAcentral describes it as "partial 16S ribosomal RNA". It matches the Rfam family "Bacterial small subunit ribosomal RNA", at positions 338 to 795 of the family's 1533-position model. The record is from RNAcentral.
CCUACGGGAGGCAGCAGUGAGGAAUAUUGGUCAAUGGCCGGAAGGCUGAACCAGCCAAGCCGCGUGAGGGAGGAAGGCGCAGAGCGUCGCAGACCUCUUUUGCCGGGGGACAAAAGGCCGGACUCGUCCGGUCCUGAGGGUACCCGGAGAAAAAGCAUCGGCUAACUCCGUGCCAGCAGCCGCGGUAAUACGGAGGAUGCGAGCGGUAUCCGGAUUCAUUGGGUUUAAAGGGUGCGCAGGCGGGCCUUUAAGCCGGCGGGGAAAUCGCGGGGCUCAACCCCGCCGGGCCGUCGGAACUGGGGGCCUUGAGUGCGGCGGAGGCAUGCGGAAUGCGCGGUGUAGCGGUGAAAUGCAUAGAUAUCGCGCAGAACCCCGAUUGCGAAGGCAGUGUGCCGUGCCGCCACUGACGCUGAGGCACGAAAGCGCGGGGAUCGAACAGGAUUAUAUACCCCAGUAGUC